AUUGAACGCUGGCGGCAGGCCUAACACAUGCAAGUCGAGCGGUUGAAGGGAGCUUGCUCCUGGAUUCAGCGGCGGACGGGUGAGUAAUGCCUAGGAAUCUGCCUGGUAGUGGGGGAUAACGUCCGGAAACGGGCGCUAAUACCGCAUACGUCCUGAGGGAGAAAGUGGGGGAUCUUCGGACCUCACGCUCUCAGAUGAGCCUAGGUCGGAUUAGCUAGUUGGUGGGGUAAAGGCCUACCAAGGCGACGAUCCGUAACUGGUCUGAGAGGAUGAUCAGUCACACUGGAACUGAGACACGGUCCAGACUCCUACGGGAGGCAGCAGUGGGGAAUAUUGGACAAUGGGCGAAAGCCUGAUCCAGCCAUGCCGCGUGUGUGAGGAAGGUCUUCGGAUUGUAAAGCACUUUAAGUUGGGAGGAAGGGCAGUAAGUUAAUACCUUGCUGUUUUGACGUUACCAACAGAAUAAGCACCGGCUAACUUCGUG
RNAcentral lists this ribosomal RNA (484 nucleotides) under uncultured bacterium. RNAcentral describes it as "partial 16S ribosomal RNA". It matches the Rfam family "Bacterial small subunit ribosomal RNA", at positions 30 to 507 of the family's 1533-position model. The record is from RNAcentral.